Molecule: non-coding RNA, 216 nt
Organism: Tupaia belangeri (northern tree shrew)
Lineage: Eukaryota; Metazoa; Chordata; Mammalia; Scandentia; Tupaiidae
Source: Rfam
UUAACGUGUUAAUCAUAAAAAGUCACUCUCCAAGGAAGUAUACUGAAACAUCCGGAUGUGAGGUUAUAAUUUAAAACAGAAGCAAAAGAGCUCUUCUUAAAAGAAGUAAAACUCUUAAUUCAAACUUAACUAGAUAGCUAAUAAUGACAGUGAAAAUGCUGGCAUGUAUAGAUAUUGGGAAGUCUUGGGAUUUGGAUUUUAUUACUGACCAUCUGG